GUAGGUGGCAAGCGUUGUCCCGGAAUUAUUGGGGCGUAAAGCGCGCGCAGGCGGUUCUUUAAGUCUGAUGUGAAAGCCCACGGGCUCAACCGUGAGGGUCAUUGGAAACUGGAGAACUUGAGUACAGAAGAGGAAAGCGGAAUUCCACGUGUAGCGGUGAAAUGCGUAGAGAUGUGGCGGAACACCAGUGGCGAAGGCGGCUUUCUGGUCUGUAACUGACGCUGAGGCGCGAAAGCGUGGGGAGCAAACAGGAUUAGAUACCCUGGUAGUCCACGCCGUAAACGAUGAGUGCUAAGUGUUAGGGGGUUUCCGCCCCUUAGUGCUGCAGCUAACGCAUUAAGCACUCCGCCUGGGGAGUACGGCCGCAAGGCUG
Molecule: ribosomal RNA, 373 nt
Filed under: uncultured organism
Description: partial 16S ribosomal RNA
Rfam family: Bacterial small subunit ribosomal RNA
Source: RNAcentral